RNAcentral lists this ribosomal RNA (1020 nucleotides) under Pireneitega luctuosa. RNAcentral's name for it is "SSU rRNA". It matches the Rfam family "Eukaryotic small subunit ribosomal RNA", at positions 42 to 1063 of the family's 1831-position model. RNAcentral also lists the same sequence under 4 other names. Lineage: Eukaryota; Metazoa; Arthropoda; Arachnida; Araneae; Agelenidae. The record is from RNAcentral.
GAUUAGCCAUGCAUGUCUAAGUACAUGCCGUAUUAAGGCGAAACCGCGAAUGGCUCAUUAAAUCAGUCAUGGUUCCUUGGAUCGUACCUUACUACUUGGAUAACUGUGGCAAUUCUAGAGCUAAUACAUGCAGCAGAGCUCCGACCUUCGGGGACGAGCGCUUUUAUUAGACCAAAACCAAUCGGACCUCGUGUCCGUCCUUUGUGGUGACUCUGUAUAACUUUGGGCUGAUCGCACGGGCCUGUCCCGGCGACGUAUCUUUCAAGUGUCUGCCUUAUCAACUUUCGAUGGUAGGUUACGCGCCUACCAUGGUCGUAACGGGUAACGGGGAAUCAGGGUUCGAUUCCGGAGAGGGAGCCUGAGAAACGGCUACCACAUCCAAGGAAGGCAGCAGGCGCGCAAAUUACCCACUCCCAGAACGGGGAGGUAGUGACGAAAAAUAACAAUACGGGACUCUUUUGAGACCCCGUAAUUGGAAUGAGUACACUCUAAAUCCUUUAACGAGGAUCCAUUGGAGGGUAAGUCUGGUGCCAGCAACCGCGGUAAUUCCAGCUCCAAUAGCGUAUAUUAAAGUUGUUGCGGUUAAAAAGCUCGUAGUUGGAUCUCAGUUCCAGACGGGUGGUCCGCCUACCGGUGGUUACUGCCUGUUCUGAACAGUCAGCCGGUUUCUCUUGAUGAUCUUCACCGGUUGUCUUGGGUGACCGGCAAGUUUACUUUGAAAAAAUUAGAGUGCUCAAGCAGGCGUGACGCCUGAAUAAUGGUGCAUGGAAUAAUGGAAUAGGACCUCGGUUCUAUUUUGUUGGUUUUCGGAACACGAGGUAAUGAUUAAGAGGGACAGACGGGGGCAUUCGUAUUGCGACGCUAGAGGUGAAAUUCUUGGACCGUCGCAAGACGAACUACUGCGAAAGCAUUUGCCAAGAAUGUUUCCAUUAAUCAAGAACGAAAGUUAGAGGUUCGAAGGCGAUCAGAUACCGCCCUAGUUCUAACCAUAAACGAUGCCAGCCAGCGAUCCGGCUGUGU